Melospiza melodia melodia is the source of this 473-nucleotide long non-coding RNA. RefSeq lists it as uncharacterized. The transcript is spliced from 5 exons. The record is from RefSeq and is a predicted model, not a curated record. NCBI's taxonomy places the organism in Eukaryota, Metazoa, Chordata, Aves, Passeriformes, Passerellidae.
CCGCGGGCAGGAACCCCGGGCGGGCAGCGCAGGAACCGCGGGCAGGAACCCCGGGCAGCUUUAUGUUUCAGAGUCAUUCUGAUUAUGGAGCACUGACACAAAAGAAGCUUUUCUGGAAUGGAGGUAGUGUUACAGAUUCGGUGGAAGUGAGGGGGUGUGAAGCCCUCGGUCUGCUGCUGCCUGUGAGCCAUGAGCACGGGAUGGGCUGAACAGUCUUGCCCCGAGGGUAACCUCCAAGCAAAGUCUGCUGCUGAGGUGUAUUUAAGGACCAACAGCAUUUAUACAGAAGUACCAUAUACACUAAAUAAAUUUUCCCUGUUUAAAUGGGACUUACUUGUUCAGGUGCCUCAUCUUUAAAAUUAGUUCUUAACUACUUCCUUUUUACCUGAAGACUUUGCUUUUCCUGCUCCAGCUUCAGAAAUGCCAUUCCCAGCAUGCUGCUUGGCACCCAUCUGCCUUCUCAAACCCUAAAC